RNAcentral lists this ribosomal RNA (573 nucleotides) under Trichoderma brevicompactum. RNAcentral's name for it is "eukaryotic LSU rRNA". The stretch from base 210 to 364 matches the Rfam family "5.8S ribosomal RNA". Lineage: Eukaryota; Fungi; Ascomycota; Sordariomycetes; Hypocreales; Hypocreaceae. The record is from RNAcentral.
UCAUUACCGAGUUUACAACUCCCAAACCCCCAAUGUGAACGUUACCAAACUGUUGCCUCGGCGGGAUUUCUGCCCCGGGCGCGUCGCAGCCCCGGACCAAGGCGCCCGCCGGAGGACCAAUUUACAAACUCUUUUGUAUAUCCCAUCGCGGAUUCUUUACAUUCUGAGCUUUCUCGGCGCUCCUAGCGAGCGUUUCGAAAAUGAAUCAAAACUUUCAACAACGGAUCUCUUGGUUCUGGCAUCGAUGAAGAACGCAGCGAAAUGCGAUAAGUAAUGUGAAUUGCAGAAUUCAGUGAAUCAUCGAAUCUUUGAACGCACAUUGCGCCCGCGCAGUAUUCUGGCGGGCAUGCCUGUCCGAGCGUCAUUUCAACCCUCGAACCCCUCCGGGGGGUCGGCGUUGGGGAUCGGCACUUACCUGCCGGCCCCGAAAUACAGUGGCGGUCUCGCCGCAGCCUCUCCUGCGCAGUAGUUUGCACACUCGCACCGGGAGCGCGGCGCGUCCACGGCCGUAAAACAACCCAAACUUCUGAAAUGUGACCUCGGAUCAGGUAGGAAUACCCGCGAACUAACCGC